UUUUAUGUUGCUGAGUCACAGCCUUUGGAUUGACUCAAGAUUUUGAAGACACACACAGCUUGGCCAAGUGAGAAGUGCUGGAGAGCAUCAACUCUCCCACCAGUGUUGUGCAGCAUUGCUUUGCAAAGGCUGGUGCAAGAGCAAAGUCCAGGAGUGCAUUAGGUGUUGAGGACUAGACUACAAAAGUUUCCUCUCAGCUGGUUUGCAUUCUGGCCAAACAGUCUGCCUCAGCUGCCAAUAUGGUCAAAAAUGUUGCAGCUUAAUUCAUAUUUCUGCCAAAACAAACAAACAAACCACCACCAACAAAAAACACACAAAACCCUCAAUUGAAUAAGAUUAUCAAUUAAUUGAUUGACAGUUAAAUAAUUAUCAAUUUAAAUAAAUGCCAUUUAAAUAAUGACAAUUUUGUGACGGUUUCAUUCACUGGUACUCAGCAUAUAAUUGGCACACAUUUCUGUAGGCAAAAAGGAUAAAGGACAUAAAUUACAGCUGUCACUCAUCGUGAGGGUUGUGUUUUCUCUUGUGUUGCAGUGCAGCAAAAUGAAACCCAGCUCAUGUUAAGAGCUGAGAACACGAGUGCCUUGUGUAAGUAACACAAAUCCUGGGAGAGACUGAACUCAGCUACUGUGUCAUUCAGUGUAGCUAUGAAGCUGCUUGAAGAUGAACUUGACAACACAACUGAUCCUUGUAAAGUGGUACUCUGAACCUAACUGCUUCAUAAUAUGUAAAGCCAUUGGAGUAUUCGAGCUUGCUUUCUCGUGUACUACCAUGUAUCUUGCAUAAUUAAGGAAAAGUGACACCAACUUUGUGCC
Molecule: long non-coding RNA, 812 nt
Filed under: Cairina moschata (Muscovy duck)
Lineage: Eukaryota; Metazoa; Chordata; Aves; Anseriformes; Anatidae
Description: domestica (muscovy Duck (domestic type)) lncRNA (ENSCMMG00000010377.1)
Source: RNAcentral